AGCGAACGCUGGCGGCAGGCCUAACACAUGCAAGUCGAACGAACCUUUCGGGGUUAGUGGCGGACGGGUGAGUAACACGUGGGAACGUGCCUUUAGGUUCGGAAUAACUCAGGGAAACUUGUGCUAAUACCGAAUGUGCCCUUCGGGGGAAAGAUUAAUCGCCUUUAGAGCGGCCCGCGUCUGAUUAGCUAGUUGGUUGAGGUAAUGGCUCACCAAGGCGACGAUCAGUAGCUGGUCUGAGAGGAUGAUCAGCCACAUUGGGACUGAGACACGGCCCAAACUCCUACGGGAGGCAGCAGUGGGGAAUCUUGCGCAAUGGGCGAAAGCCUGACGCAGCCAUGCCGCGUGAAUGAUGAAGGUCUUAGGAUUGUAAAAUUCUUUAACCGGGGACGAUAAUGACGGUACCCGGAGAAGAAGCCCCGGCUAACUUCGUG
RNAcentral lists this ribosomal RNA (434 nucleotides) under uncultured bacterium. Its description in RNAcentral is "partial 16S ribosomal RNA". It matches the Rfam family "Bacterial small subunit ribosomal RNA", at positions 29 to 507 of the family's 1533-position model. The record is from RNAcentral.